AGUGAACGCUGGCGGUAGGCCUAACACAUGCAAGUCGAACGGCAGCACAGUAAGAGCUUGCUCUUACGGGUGGCGAGUGGCGGACGGGUGAGGAAUACAUCGGAAUCUACUUUUUCGUGGGGGAUAACGUAGGGAAACUUACGCUAAUACCGCAUACGACCUACGGGUGAAAGCAGGAGAUCUUCGGACCUUGCGCGAUUGAAUGAGCCGAUGUCGGAUUAGCUAGUUGGCGGGGUAAAGGCCCACCAAGGCGACGAUCCGUAGCUGGUCUGAGAGGAUGAUCGGCGACACUGGAACUGAGCCACGGUCCAGACUCCUACGGGAGGCAGCAGUGGGGAAUAUUGGACAAUGGGCGCAAGCCUGAUCCAGCCAUACCGCGUGGGUGAAGAAGGCCUUCGGGUUGUAAAGCCCUUUUGUUGGGAAAGAAAAGCAGCAGGUUAAUACCCCGCUGUUCUGACGGUACCCAAAGAAUAAGCACCGGCUAACUUCGUG
Molecule: ribosomal RNA, 492 nt
Filed under: uncultured bacterium
Lineage: Bacteria
Description: partial 16S ribosomal RNA
Rfam family: Bacterial small subunit ribosomal RNA
Source: RNAcentral